RNAcentral lists this microRNA precursor (54 nucleotides) under Ictalurus punctatus (channel catfish). RNAcentral describes it as "microRNA ipu-mir-22b precursor". Its record names the gene ipu-mir-22b. It matches the Rfam family "mir-22 microRNA precursor family", at positions 20 to 74 of the family's 84-position model. Lineage: Eukaryota; Metazoa; Chordata; Actinopteri; Siluriformes; Ictaluridae. The record is from miRBase by way of RNAcentral.
UUCACUGGCUAGCUUUAUGUGGCAGCACCUUAAAGCUGCCAGUUGAAGAGCUGU